UUGCGAUGAUGUUUGAAUUUCUUCACCUGAUUCACCGUGAAGAUUAAAUCCGAGCUUUUUAACCCUGAGCAAU
This is a small nucleolar RNA of Hyla sarda, 73 nucleotides long. The record is from RefSeq and is a predicted model, not a curated record. Lineage: Eukaryota; Metazoa; Chordata; Amphibia; Anura; Hylidae.